Molecule: ribosomal RNA, 440 nt
Filed under: uncultured bacterium
Lineage: Bacteria
Description: partial 16S ribosomal RNA
Rfam family: Bacterial small subunit ribosomal RNA
Source: RNAcentral
CCUACGGGAGGCAGCAGUGGGGAAUAUUGCACAAUGGGGGGAACCCUGAUGCAGCGACGCCGCGUGAGUGAAGAAGUAUUUCGGUAUGUAAAGCUCUAUCAGCAGGGAAGAAAAUGACGGUACCUGACUAAGAAGCCCCGGCUAACUACGUGCCAGCAGCCGCGGUAAUACGUAGGGGGCAAGCGUUAUCCGGAUUUACUGGGUGGAAAGGGAGCGUAGACGGCAGAGCAAGUCUGAAGUGAAAGGCAGUGGCCCAACUGCGGGACUGCUUUGGAAACUGCCCGGCUAGAGUGCUGAAGUGGUAAGCGGAAUUCCUAGUGUAGCGGUGAAAUGCGUAGAUAUUAGGAGGAACACCGGUGGCGAAGGCGGCUUACUGGACAGUAACUGACGUUGAGGCUCGAAAGCGUGGGGAGCAAACAGGAUUAGAUACCCCGGUAGUC